AGAGUUUGAUCCUGGCUCAGAUUGAACGCUGGCGGUAUGCUUAACACAUGCAAGUCGAACGGAAACGAAACUAGCUUGCUAGUAGGCGUCGAGUGGCGGACGGGUGAGUAACGCGUAGGAAUCUGCCUGAUAGUGGGGGAUAGCCCGAAGAAAUUCGGGUUAAUACCGCAUAAUCUAUUCGUAGUAAAGUGGGGGACUUUCGAGCCUCACGCUAUCAGAUGAGCCUGCGUAAGAUUAGCUUGUUGGUAGGGUAAAAGCCUACCAAGGCAACGAUCUUUAGCUGGUCUGAGAGGAUGAUCAGCCACAUCGGGACUGAGACACGGCCCGAACUCCUACGGGAGGCAGCAGUGGGGAAUAUUGGACAAUGGGGGCAACCCUGAUCCAGCAAUACCGCGUGUGUGAAGAAGGCCUGAGGGUUGUAAAGCACUUUCAAUUGUGAAGAAAAGUUAACGGUUAAUAACCGUUGACCUUGACGUUAACUUUAGAAGAAGCACCGGCUAACUCCGUGCCAGCAGCCGCGGUAAUACGGAGGGUGCAAGCGUUAAUCGGAAUUACUGGGCGUAAAGCGUGCGUAGGCGGUUUAUUAAGUCAGAUGUGAAAGCCCCGGGCUUAACCUGGGAACUGCAUUUGAAACUGGUCAACUAGAGUAUGGUAGAGGAAAGUGGAAUUUCUGGUGUAGCGGUGAAAUGCGUAGAUAUCAGAAGGAACAUCAAUGGCGAAGGCAGCUUUCUGGACCAAUACUGACGCUGAGGUACGAAAGCGUGGGUAGCAAACAGGAUUAGAUACCCUGGUAGUCCACGCCGUAAACGAUGAUAACUAGCCGUUGGGGGGAUUUACCCCUUAGUGGCGAAGCUAACGCGUUAAGUUAUCCGCCUGGGGAGUACGGCCGCAAGGCUAAAACUCAAAGGAAUUGACGGGGACCCGCACAAGCGGUGGAGCAUGUGGUUUAAUUCGAUGCAACGCGAAGAACCUUACCUGGUCUUGACAUCCUGCGAACUUUCUAGAAAUAGAUUGGUGCCUUCGGGAACGCAGUGACAGGUGCUGCAUGGCUGUCGUCAGCUCGUGUCGUGAGAUGUUGGGUUAAGUCCCGUAACGAGCGCAACCCCUAUCCUUAUUUGCCAGCACAUUAUGGUGGGAACUAUAAGGAGACUGCCGGUGAUAAACCGGAGGAAGGCGGGGACGACGUCAAGUCAUCAUGGCCCUUACGACCAGGGCUACACACGUGCUACAAUGGGAAGGACAAAGAGCCGCGAAGCCGCGAGGUGUAGCUAAUCUCAUAAAUCUUUUCGUAGUCCGGAUUGGAGUCUGCAACUCGACUCCAUGAAGUCGGAAUCGCUAGUAAUCGUAGAUCAGAAUGCUACGGUGAAUACGUUCCCGGGUCUUGUACACACCGCCCGU
RNAcentral lists this ribosomal RNA (1398 nucleotides) under uncultured bacterium. RNAcentral's name for it is "bacterial SSU rRNA". It matches the Rfam family "Bacterial small subunit ribosomal RNA". The record is from RNAcentral.